UACAGAGGUCCCAAGCGUUGUUCGGAUUUAUUGGGCGUAAAGGGUGCGUAGGCGGCGGAGUAAGUUGGGUGUGAAAUCCCGGGGCUCAACCUCGGAAUUGCAUUCAAUACUGCUUCGCUUGAGUACUGGAGAGGAGGCUGGAAUUUACGGUGUAGCAGUGAAAUGCGUAGAUAUCGUAAGGAAGGCCGGUGGCGAAAGCGAGCCUCUGGACAGUUACUAACGCUGAUGCACGAAGGCCAGGGGAGCAAACGGG
This 253-nucleotide ribosomal RNA is filed under the name uncultured bacterium. Its description in RNAcentral is "partial 16S ribosomal RNA". It matches the Rfam family "Bacterial small subunit ribosomal RNA", at positions 524 to 776 of the family's 1533-position model. The record is from RNAcentral.